CCCUGAGGAGACAGCGGGCAGCAGGCUAGGGGCUGGGCGGCGGUUGAGACAGCGGCUGUAUUGGGGGAUAGGUGACGGUCGCGAGGCUGCCUGAGCUUCUGAGUGAGCUCGGAGCUUUGGAGAACGCGUGAGGGGCGACCUGCGGCGCCAGGAGCGGGCAGAGGCGCGGCGGCGCGGCUGCAGUCUGGGUGGGAAGUUACGGUUUACAGCGAAGUCCACCCAGCGUUUCCGAGGUGAGGGCGCCGCGCCUGGCCGGGCGGGCGGUGAGUCCGGGACCGCGGGUGCACAGCUGGGUCGAGCUGCGGCUGUCCCAAGUUUUGCUGCGAGCGGCGGCGGAGGAGCGGCGGGGGGGAUGGGGAGGCGUGUGCUGCGGCGCCGCCGGGGCCUAAGUUCCCUGCGCUCGAUUCCUCGCCUGCCGCUGCCGCCCGCACCCCACCUCUCGUGGGCGCCGGGGCAGAAACUCGCUAGUGGGUGUUCUGUGGCAUCCCAGGGGGUGGAGGGACGGAGCAGCUUCGGGGGCAUGUCCUCGUAUAUCCUGUGGAGGACACUGACCCCGCAUCCCACCCUUGAGGCCAGAAAUCAGUUCCCUCUGGGGACCUGAGAGGCGAGAGCGCUCGCGUCCCUGACUUGCAAAGUUGGGGUCUUUAGUGGCCUUCGGGAUUUUGCUCCUGUCGGUGUCUCCAGGCUGGUGAUGGGCAAGCCAGGUGUGCCAGGUCCAGGAUGCACGUGAGGAGCGUUUGUAGCCAUCACUGAAUCACCUCAUGACUAGCGGGACAAGCCUCAAAUUAACCGCAGGGUUUCCGGGCCUCACUCUGUUGCCCAGGCUAGAGUGCCAUGGCAGGAUCUCAGCUCACUGCAACCUCCACCUCCUGGCUCAAGCAAUCCUCCCACCUCAGCCUCCUGAGUAGCUGCAACUAUAGGCAAUCUGAAGGCAAAUGCUGUUUAGAUGCAGGCGAAGGUUCCUGGUGACCCAGGCUCUCACCAGCAGAUUGUCCCUUACCGUCCUCCUGAGGGUGUCUGGAGCUUCAGUGCUGUGUGCUCUUGGCCUCCACACUGGGGUGCCACCGACUCCCACUGUCCAGGGCUUCCAGUGGACUCUCCGAGGCACUGAUGCAGAAACUUCCCCAUUCGGUGCACCAAGAGCAGCCUCACACGGUGUGGGCCGACAGGAAGAGCUGCCAGAUCCAACAGUGCUGAAAACUCAUCCCUGUGUGACCUCAUGUAAGCCAUGUAACUUUGUGAACCUGCAGUUUUAUCAUUUAGAAACUUGAAAGAUUUCAUUCUGACACAGAAUGUCAGGUCUCCCAGACCCCAGAAAAUGCAUUGACUUAAAGCCUUUGAUAGAUCUCAAAGCAGUAUCCUUACAGUGUCAUUGGAGGAUGGUGUGGGCUGCAGAGACGGAUGCUUUCAAAUGGAUUGAUCCAGUCCUCCUUCCUUCACUUCCACAUGAAUGCUGGGCAGCCCAGGGUCACACCCACUGCACCCUCAACUCAGGCAAGUCCAGCAGCCAAACUGAGGAGACCCGGGCUACAGAACAGUCUCCCAAGUUCCAGGCUCACAAAACCUAGGUGGGAAUGAAAGCUGAGAAAGUGAGGAGGUGGUUCAGGGGGUCAUUCUUUCCUGCUCAUUCCUCUCACCUCAAACUCACCUACUGCACAGCAACACUGAGGAUCACCAACUAACCCUGACCGGAACCAUGAUCUUGCCAUGUUCUGUUAGUGGAAUGCAACCAAAAAUCCAUGGUGUUAGUCCAACUCAACAAAAUAUACAUCAAACCAUAUUCCACAAGACCUGCUUGUGGCCCUGUUCUUUUCAGUAUAUGGGAAAACAAAAUAGCCUCAGGUUUACAAAAAUUCCCAAGAUAGAUGGUCACACAUGUUUUCAGGAGACCUCUAUAUAAAUGAUUUUGAUCACUUGAUACCUUGAAAAGAGGUCUUGUGGCACUUGAAUGACAUCCAUAAGUGAUAAGUAUGAAAUGUAGUGCUCAGUGACAUUGAAAAACUAAUCAGCCCACAUAGAGGAAGAGCUCUGGACGUAGGGAUGCCAAACUGGUCUAGAGUGUAAUGAAAGCCCAAGAUGGUGCCCCACUGAGAAAAGAAAUCAACAUAACAGUGGGUUGCAGGAAGAAGAAUACUGAGACAGGAAAGAAAACAUUUUUAAAAAUGAAUUAUUCAUUCACUUUCUAGUGGAUACAGAAAAAACUGCAGAAGACCCAGAGGAUAUCAGGGCAGGCUAAAAGUUUGGUAUCUUACACCUGUGGAAAAGCCUUAGGCUCUGUUUUAUCUUAGAGCAGGUGGGGUGACUUCAUGACUGCCAUUAAGAAAAUAUAACCUGUUGGGAAACUGUUUCUGCCUUGACGAUUUUGUACAGACAAGAGCUAAACAGUGAGGAAUAUGCUUAGAUGUAUUGGGAAAGAGAUGGGUCUGUGCCAUUGUCACGAGGUUACACGAAUACUGAGAGUGAAUGCUGAAGGAAUGAUCCCCAUUGGUGGUGACCCUCAGGUGAGACCAGGGUGCCUGUGUUUCAGCAAAGCCUGGGCAAUUGGAAUGCAGGGCUCCUAAGAUUCCACGACACCCCCACCUUCUAAUUCUGUUAUUGCAACUGGAGACGGUUACCUGGCACGCUGGCGACAAUCUUCCUCACUCUUGUCAGACUCUGA
Cercocebus atys (sooty mangabey) is the source of this 2659-nucleotide long non-coding RNA. The record is from Ensembl. NCBI's taxonomy places the organism in Eukaryota, Metazoa, Chordata, Mammalia, Primates, Cercopithecidae.